UACAGAGAGUGCGAACGUUGUUCGGAAUUACUGGGCUUAAAGAGCACGUAGGCGGCAUCGUAAGUGUCAGGUGAAAUCCCACGGCUCACCCGUGGAACUGCCCGGCAGACUGCGAUGCUCGAGUGUGGUAGGGGAGAACGGAACUCCUGGUGGAGCGGUGAAAUGCGUAGAUAUCAGGAGGAACACCGGUGGCGAAGGCGGUUCUCUGGUCCACAACUGACGCUGAGGUGCGAAAGCUAGGGGAGCAAAC
RNAcentral lists this ribosomal RNA (250 nucleotides) under uncultured bacterium. Its description in RNAcentral is "partial 16S ribosomal RNA". It matches the Rfam family "Bacterial small subunit ribosomal RNA", at positions 524 to 773 of the family's 1533-position model. The record is from RNAcentral.